This 507-nucleotide ribosomal RNA is filed under the name Salmonella enterica subsp. enterica serovar Infantis. RNAcentral describes it as "partial 23S ribosomal RNA". It matches the Rfam family "Bacterial large subunit ribosomal RNA", at positions 711 to 1216 of the family's 2925-position model. The record is from RNAcentral. RNAcentral also lists the same sequence under 4 other names. Lineage: Bacteria; Pseudomonadati; Pseudomonadota; Gammaproteobacteria; Enterobacterales; Enterobacteriaceae.
AGACCCGAAACCCGGUGAUCUAGCCAUGGGCAGGUUGAAGGUUGGGUAACACUAACUGGAGGACCGAACCGACUAAUGUUGAAAAAUUAGCGGAUGACCUGUGGCUGGGGGUGAAAGGCCAAUCAAACCGGGAGAUAGCUGGUUCUCCCCGAAAGCUAUUUAGGUAGCGCCUCGUGAAUUCAUCUCCGGGGGUAGAGCACUGUUUCGGCUAGGGGGCCAUCCCGGCUUACCAACCCGAUGCAAACUGCGAAUACCGGAGAAUGUUAUCACGGGAGACACACGGCGGGUGCUAACGUCCGUCGUGAAGAGGGAAACAACCCAGACCGCCAGCUAAGGUCCCAAAGUCAUGGUUAAGUGGGAAACGAUGUGGGAAGGCCCAGACAGCCAGGAUGUUGGCUUAGAAGCAGCCAUCAUUUAAAGAAAGCGUAAUAGCUCACUGGUCGAGUCGGCCUGCGCGGAAGAUGUAACGGGGCUAAACCAUGCACCGAAGCUGCGGCAGCGAACGUA